GGGGGGGCGGGCCCGGGGGCGGAGUCACGCCCGCUUAGACCCUCGCGGGAGGGAGACCCAGGUGCCCUCAAGUUCCUGCCUGAUGUUUGGAGCUACUUCCAAGCUAGGUGUUUUCUAGAUGGGUCCGAUUGAGAUAAUUGCUCUUCCAUCUGGACCAUUAUCUCCGUGAAGCAACCUCACUUCCUCAUCAGCUUUGGGACCAUUAUCUUUGAUAAUUCUUUCUAAACACCUAUCCUCACUCUGUAACUACUUAGAUGCCCUACCACCUUGCCUUUUUGAUGACUUACUUUGGCUGUUACAAAUUACCACAAAUUUAACAGAUUGAACCAACAUAAAGUUACUGGAUUUGUGGAAAAUA
Non-coding RNA from Cricetulus griseus (Chinese hamster), 358 nucleotides. The record is from RefSeq and is a predicted model, not a curated record. NCBI's taxonomy places the organism in Eukaryota, Metazoa, Chordata, Mammalia, Rodentia, Cricetidae.